GAUGGAUAAACCUCACUGAAACCACUGUUCUGAGACUGCAGGCACAGCUAUUGAGGACAGCCUAGAUGCAAGCCAGGUCUCAUUUCCAAAGCACAGAGUGGAUUAAAAGUAAAGUACAACCAAAAAGAAGACCUGGAAAUCUGAAAAUAUGCAGAAUAACAAUCCAGCAAAGAAUGGGUCCUUCAGAGAACUUGCAUUGAAGGUAAAACUGAAGGAGCUGCACACCAAUCCUCUGCCACUGCACUGUGCACCUCUGUAUGUCACAAGUACACCAGGAAGAGCCAUCUCUCCAGGUUUGGUGCUGGGGGGGUUUGGGUGGUUGGAGGGGGUGGUGUUUGAGAUCAUGGCCAUAUCAGCCAUUCCCUGUGCCACACAGGGAGCAGAGCAGUGAUGUGCACACAGCACCCCACAGGUCCUCACCAGUGAGCUCCUGCAGGAGCCCUCAGCUAGGAGACCAGAUCUGUGGGAGCCCCAG
This 475-nucleotide long non-coding RNA is filed under the name Zonotrichia albicollis (white-throated sparrow). Its description in RNAcentral is "lncRNA (ENSZALG00000012325.1)". The record is from RNAcentral. Lineage: Eukaryota; Metazoa; Chordata; Aves; Passeriformes; Passerellidae.